GCCGGGGUGGCGGAAUCGGCAGACGCGGCGGACUUAAAAUCCGUUGGGGGCAACCUCGUGUGGGUUCGAGACCCACCCUCGGCACCA
This 87-nucleotide transfer RNA is filed under the name Dehalococcoidia bacterium. Its description in RNAcentral is "tRNA-Leu". It matches the Rfam family "tRNA". Rfam says of the family: Transfer RNA (tRNA) molecules are approximately 80 nucleotides in length. Their secondary structure includes four short double-helical elements and three loops (D, anti-codon, and T loops). The record is from RNAcentral. Lineage: Bacteria; Bacillati; Chloroflexota; Dehalococcoidia.